This 1183-nucleotide long non-coding RNA is filed under the name Parus major (Great Tit). RNAcentral describes it as "lncRNA (ENSPMJG00000019140.1)". Lineage: Eukaryota; Metazoa; Chordata; Aves; Passeriformes; Paridae. The record is from RNAcentral.
CCCCGAUUCCCGAUCCCAAUCCCGCCUCCAAUUCCUGAUCCCAAUCCCCAAUCCCGAUCCCUGAUUCCCUGAUUCCUGAUCCCUGAUUCCUGAUCCCGAUUCCUGCCCCCGAUUCCUGAUCCCAAUCCCACCCCUGAUUCCCGAUCCAGAUUCCCGCCCCCAAUUCCUGCCCCCGAUCCCCGAUUCCCGCGGCUCACAAACACCAAUCCACACCUUCUCCGACAGAAUUUAUGGAUCCGCAACACAAAAAACUCCGGGGGGGGGGGCGGCUCCCGGCAAUUCCCGCUUUUCCCCGCCCCCCUCUCCCAUCCCUCCCCGCCAUCCCUGAGCUCGCGUCUCCCGGAAUUCCAAAAACCCCGGGAAUAAAACCCCUUCCCGAGGGGCUCCGGGGCUCCUCAUCCCGGCCGGCGGAGAUUCCCGAGGAUUCCUCAGGAAUUCUCCAGCACCUGGUGGGGGAGGGGCACGGAUCCCGCUUUUUCCCGGCCCUUCAGGAAGAAGGUGAGGAGCUCCCCUUUGCCCUUGACGAAGACGGCGCCGCGCCGGACGAAGCGGAACCCGAAUUCCUUCAGGAUCUGCUGCGUCUCCUCCACCACCUGACGGGAAUUCCGACGGGGAAAAAAAACCGGGAAUUUGGGAAUUCCGCCCUUCCCCGGGAUGGGGAAAAGAAGGAUAAAAGGAAAAAGGGAGGGGAAGGAGGGGAUGGAUUCCGGGUGUGGGAAUUCGGGAGGGGAGAGUUGGUGGGGAUUCCUGGCUGGGCUGGAAUUCCCAGAGAAUUCUUGGGAAUGUCCAAGGAAAAGCUGGAGCAGGGUGGGAAUGGGAUGGGAAUGGGAUGGGAUUGGGAAUCCGUGGAUCCCAUCCCAAGGAAUUCCGGGAUUCUGGGAUCCAGGAGGCUCAGGAUCCACCCCGAGGGGUUUUUAUGGAAUUCUGGGAAGGGAGACCCUUCCUGGAGUCCCCAAUUCCCAGGGAAUUCCCAAAAUUCCUUCCCUUGGGAUGGGGCUGGAUCCAAUCCCGGUCUGGGAGAACCGGGAAUGUGCAGCCGGAUCAGGGAAGGAUCCCAGGAAUCCUGGGAGCCGCUUCCCGAGGCUCCAGGGGCUCCGGGAGAGCUGGGAUUUGGGAAAGGGCCGCAGGGCCAGGAGCCAGGGAAUGGCUUCCCACUGGGAAAGGGGAGCUGGGAGCUUGGGAA